GACGAACCGUGCGAACGUUGUUCGGAAUCACUGGGCUUAAAGGGCGCGUAGGCGGCCCGCUAAGUCGAACGUGAAAUCCCCGAGCUCAACUCGGGAACUGCGUCCGAUACUGGUGGGCUUGAAUCCGGGAGAGGGAUGCGGAAUUCCAGGUGUAGCGGUGAAAUGCGUAGAUAUCUGGAGGAACACCGGUGGCGAAGGCGGCUCACUGGCCCGAUACUGACGCUGAGGUGCGAAAGCGUGGGGAGCAAACAGG
This 253-nucleotide ribosomal RNA is filed under the name uncultured bacterium. Its description in RNAcentral is "partial 16S ribosomal RNA". It matches the Rfam family "Bacterial small subunit ribosomal RNA", at positions 524 to 776 of the family's 1533-position model. The record is from RNAcentral.